Chelonia mydas (Green sea turtle) is the source of this 612-nucleotide long non-coding RNA. RefSeq lists it as uncharacterized. Lineage: Eukaryota; Metazoa; Chordata; Testudines; Cheloniidae. The record is from RefSeq and is a predicted model, not a curated record. The transcript has 4 exons.
GUUUGGUCUAUAUAUAUGGCAGCCAUGAUUAUAGUAACUGAGUGCCAUUCAACAAGGACCUGAUCCAAUAACCAGUGAAGUCAAUGAAAUGACAUUCUGGACACCAGCUCUCAUAAUGAUCUCCCACUGGCGAUGGCACACUUUCCUUAUCUGAUUUUACAUUUUAACUUAUUCUGUUUUAUGUUUUGAGAUCUUUGUCAGUCUUAAUGUAUGCAUUUCCCUGGACUGGAAAAAUUUUCUCUUGACUUGCUGACAUAAUGCUUAAGAUACAAGUGAAGAGCAUCCACAACACCUGAAGAAUAAAGGAAACAGGUUUGGACUAGAGAGGGAUCCUGACUGAAAGAUUCUGCCAGUAAAACUGCUAAAACGUGUGGUAUCAGCUGUGACUGGAAAUAGCCGGGCCAACAUAAUGUGAGAGGCUGUUCUUGUGAUAUUUCCACUUCAGUCAGAAGAAGGAAGAACUAAAAAUCGAAUAAGACGACCUAUUCUUAUUCCAGGAAAGCUUUGUAAGAAAUCAAGAAGUAUAAAUAAGCAACCAAAAAUCUGAGGAAUAUGUGAAAUGAAAUCCUUCACGCUUAACUUGAUUAUGGGAAUUUCUGAACUGUCUACCUC